This is a non-coding RNA of Pogona vitticeps (central bearded dragon), 203 nucleotides long. The record is from RefSeq and is a predicted model, not a curated record. NCBI's taxonomy places the organism in Eukaryota, Metazoa, Chordata, Lepidosauria, Squamata, Agamidae.
CGGGUAAAGGCACAGGUGAUCUCAGGGAGGAAGAAGAGAGGAGCCCCCACAACUCACAGACGAACAAACAAAGGUUUGUCAACUGGCAGAGAAAUGAGUCACUGAUCAGAGGUGCUGAGGAGCACAGGAGAUACUUGGAAAUGGAUGUUCGAAGGUUGGAAAUCCCUGCUGAGCUUGCGGCCCUCCUCCGCUUGGCUGAGGGU